CCUACGGGGGGCUGCAGUGGGGAAUAUUGGACAAUGGGGGCAACCCUGAUCCAGCCAUGCCGCGUGUGUGAAGAAGGCCCUCGGGUUGUAAAGCACUUUCAGUGAGGAAGAACGCCUGGUGGUUAAUACCCAUCAGGAAAGACAUCACUCACAGAAGAAGCACCGGCUAACUCCGUGCCAGCAGCCGCGGUAAUACGGAGGGUGCGAGCGUUAAUCGGAAUUACUGGGCGUAAAGCGCGCGUAGGUGGCUUGAUAAGCCGGUUGUGAAAGCCCCGGGCUCAACCUGGGAACGGCAUCCGGAACUGUCAAGCUAGAGUGCAGGAGAGGAAGGUAGAAUUCCCGGUGUAGCGGUGAAAUGCGUAGAGAUCGGGAGGAAUACCAGUGGCGAAGGCGGCCUUCUGGACUGACACUGACACUGAGGUGCGAAAGCGUGGGUAGCAAACAAGAUUAGAUACCCGAGUAGUC
Molecule: ribosomal RNA, 465 nt
Filed under: Vreelandella stevensii
Lineage: Bacteria; Pseudomonadati; Pseudomonadota; Gammaproteobacteria; Oceanospirillales; Halomonadaceae
Description: partial 16S ribosomal RNA
Rfam family: Bacterial small subunit ribosomal RNA
Source: RNAcentral